Molecule: long non-coding RNA, 1001 nt
Organism: Gallus gallus (chicken)
Lineage: Eukaryota; Metazoa; Chordata; Aves; Galliformes; Phasianidae
Source: Ensembl
UGGGACUUGCGCUGCAAGAAACCUGAUUUCACUUGUGAUGUGUACUUAAGUCAGCACUGUUUUGCACUAAAUCCCUGCUGCUCCCCUCUUUCCCUGCUGGGCUUGUGUUGAGCUUAUGGCAAAUAAAACCUAUUUUUUCUACUUUUCCAUGAGGCACCAUAAGUGUAGAGACUGGAGUCUGCAAGCUCUUUGCUACCCUUUGAGCUUUAUACAAGAUCUUCCUGCAUGCACUGUGCACCUCAUGAAGCAAGCUAUCAGGGGCGUUUUGGGGAUAGCUGGGAUAUGUUUGUGUCUUUUUGGAGAUCCCCAUUUGUCACUGACAGGUAAGACGGGCUAGCUGUGCUGUCUCUGAGACACUCUGCUAUCUAGUUUCUCCUCAAGUUGGGGGAUUUGGGUGACCCAGCAGCCCCUAUUGUGUUUGCAUGCCACUGCCCCAGAGGAGCUUUACUGGAUGUAGUGCAAGCAACUCACAAGACACAGCUUCUCAUCAAAGUAAUUAUUCACACCCUGUUCCUCUGAUGCUUGUCUGAGUUCUGCAGAGACAAUUCAAGGACUGAAAGAUCUUACUUCUGCAGAAAAUUAGAAGAAUUGUUUUUCCCACACAAAGCUGCAGAAGAAUGCUGCAGUGUUGCUGGAGAUCUGGGACUGGAUUAAGCUGAAGUAGGAAGCUGGGGACAUGAAAACAAGAUAGUGAACAGCCGCUUAAGUUCUAUGCUCUUGAGUGAUGGCCUUUUGUGAAAUAGUUCUGUGAAGCUUCCCCAGGCGAAAGGUCUUACAUGACUCUCUACCCUCUGCUGAGAAGGUGCUUCUUUUUCAAUCUCAGCCUGAACCACUGAUGGAGCACCUGGGGAAAGGACCCGGUCAGCCCUGGGAGCACAGUGAAGGCAAUUCAGCUGUGUGACUGGAAGGGAUGGAACCUGGCUGCACCUCUCUUAGACCCCAUUUAAGGGCUGACUGUGGCUGGGGAGGGAUCUCUGGUUGGAGAUCUCUCCUUUGUGAAG